Pyrgilauda ruficollis (rufous-necked snowfinch) is the source of this 1777-nucleotide long non-coding RNA. RefSeq lists it as uncharacterized. NCBI's taxonomy places the organism in Eukaryota, Metazoa, Chordata, Aves, Passeriformes, Passeridae. The record is from RefSeq and is a predicted model, not a curated record. The transcript has 3 exons.
AGCAAUAGGCAAGGCCAGAUGGAUCCUCCUGGGACUGGAGACACACUGGCACAAAGGUUUUGACCACACAGAACUCAAAUGCUUUCUGAUGACUGGUCUGAACUUUUCACAGCAUAACUCUCAGGUCCCAGCACAGCAGACGUGUCACUGACCCACGGUGCCUUCCGACAUCAGCCUUCUGUCUGCAGCUGACUCAGUUUUCUGUAUAAAUCACUCUAUCAGGUAACUCAGCUGCUCAGCUUGAUCUUCACACUAGGUCCUCAUACAGAUGGCAGAGUCUGUGGCAGGCAAAAAGGUCUUCCUCAUUAAUUACUUUACUCUUGCCCUGUACUGCAGACAUCUCUAUGUACAAACCAGUGCUAACACCUGGCACCUGAGCUGCUGUCCCAGGGACCUCUGAGGACUUCGUCAAGAAGAUAGAAAUGCUGAGAUACCACACACAGCUGGAAAGACUUGUGUAAAACAUCUCAGCUGAAAACCCUCAAGUGGCCCAGGUUGGCUGUUGUCAUGCUCUGAAUCAACAAUCCUUGACACCUGCUGACUCAAAUGUUUCCACCAAAUCUCGCUUGCAUUUGCAUUAGUAAGCUGCAGCUAAUGUUUUCUUUCAAUUUUUUCCCUAGGAAGUUUUCUAGCAAACAGAAGCCCUAUCAAUAAGGAGGAACUUUUACAUAAUGAAAAUUAAAGAGUUUUUCCCCCCUUCCCUUUUCACUUGAUUUAUAAUGGUUACUUUAGAAAUACUCAAUCUUCAUAUGAGACCAAAAGCAAACUCCAUCCCUGAAUAAACAAAUUUAUAUUCAUAUGUAUGUACAUCCCUAUGUACAUAUAUAUUCCUGAACACAUAAAAAACCAAGUGCAUGGCAUUGCUUGGAGUUAUGUGGACAGUUUUGGAUGCCUAUUUUAUUUAUUGUACUUCUAUUUGAGAGGAAAAUUGGAUUUGGGCCCAUAUAUCUCUGAGGAUGCAUUAUUCGACUUUUAAUCUACAUCAGACUGUAACAAAGCACAUCGCAUAUCACAGCUUCUGCUACCUCUGAUACAAAUUCUGUAUUUCAAGAAUAUUUAUGCAUACAGGAUUAUUUAGCUUGGUGGCAGAGGUGUUGCAUUCUGCACUUUUUUUCUGAAGAGUAUUACUGGGUUUACUGUUUGAAUUGACUGUUCUCAUCAAUUCCAUUCUAUGGAAUGGGCGGAUAUACAUAUUGACUGGUGAAUAAUGACAGUCCCCAGUAAACAAAGGGGUUAACUUUGCAUCUCUUUUCCUCUGCUGGGGAAAAGCUUCCAGGGAUGGAAAGAAUGGAGGGUCCUUCUCCACUAUUGAGGAAGGGAUGAGACCCAGCAAGGAGUGGAUCCCAGGUGGUGUGCUCCUGACAGUUGCUAGUUUCUGCUAUGAAACAAAUGAGAGGAAGGACAUUAAAAUCUGCUUUGCAUGAUUGAAUAUGUAUUUAUAUAUCUGCACUGGACCAGUCCGAUUUCAACAAGGACUUGUCUAAAACUUCUCUAUUCAACCAUGUUAUUUUUUCCACUUGUCUCCCUAAACCCAGCUCCUGUAAGUACUUUGACCCAUCCUGGACUUUAAAAGGAAGAUCAGCAGUGCUGAUCUCUCUCAAAUUCCCCUGAGGGCAGCUUUUUCUCCCCUGUGCCCUAGACAGUCCUGUCAGCUGCUGUGCUCCAGUGACAGGAUGGCUGCAUUUCACAGCAAACGAGAUGCUUUAUUAGCGUGUGGCUGUAAAAUACUUUGAAACUCUAGUAGAUGAAUAAUGUUGUAUCAUAAAUAUAAAAUGAA